Molecule: unclassified non-coding RNA, 339 nt
Filed under: soil metagenome
Description: partial contains 5.8S ribosomal RNA, internal transcribed spacer 2, and large subunit ribosomal RNA
Rfam family: 5.8S ribosomal RNA (bases 1-120)
Source: RNAcentral
GAUGAAGAACGUAGCGAAAUGCGAUAACUAAUGUGAAUUGCAGAAUUCAGUGAAUCAUCGAGUCUUUGAACGCACAUUGCGCCCCCUGGUAUUCCGGGGGGCAUGCCUGUCCGAGCGUCAUUGCUGCCCUCAAGCACGGCUUGUGUGUUGGGCUCCGUCCCCCCGGGGACGGGCCCGAAAGGCAGCGGCGGCACCGAGUCCGGUCCUCGAGCGUAUGGGGCUUUGUCACCCGCUCUGUAGGCCCGGCCGGCGCCAGCCGACACCCCAUCAUCCUUUUCAGGUUGACCUCGGAUCAGGUAGGGAUACCCGCUGAACUUAAGCAUAUCAAUAAGCGGAGGA